AUGGAGGUGUGCUGCUGCUCCACCUCGUCCUCCCUCCUCGCCGGCGGCCGCUUCGCCGCGCCGGUGGCGUCCGCGCGGGCGCGGCAGUGGGGCGCGGCGGGGGGCGGGAGGGCGGUCGUGCUGGCGCACCCGCCGCGCCCGGCUGCCGCAGCCUCUCGGCCCGCGCGGCUCGCGCGCCGCGGGGUCAUCCGGGCCGUCUUCGAGCGCUUCACGGAGCGCGCCGUCAAGGCGGUGGUGCACUCCCAGAAGGAGGCCCGGGGGCUCGGGGAGGGCGCCGUGGCGCCGCGCCACCUGCUGCUCGGCCUCGUCGCCGAGGACCGCUCCGCCGGGGGCUUCCUCUCCUCGGGGAUCACCGUCGAGCGCGCGCGCGAGGAGUGCCGCGGCCUCAUCGGCGGCGCCGCCCAGAAGGCGGGCGGGCUCGACACCGACGUGCCCUUCGACGGGGGCUGCAGGCGCGUCUUCGAGGUCGCCGUCGAGCUGUCCAGGAACAUGGGCUGCAGCUUCAUCUCCCCCGAGCACCUCGCCAUCGCGCUCUUCACGCUCGACGAUCCCACCACCAACAAUCUCCUCAGAAGCUUGGGAGCGGAUCCGAGUCAGCUAGCGUCAGUUGCAGUCACCCGACUCCAUGAAGAGCUUGCAAAAGAUGGCAGAGAUCUCGCAGGAGCAUCUUCUCUCAAAGUGCCCGAGAAAGCACCCGCUGGAGCUGGAGCUGGAAGAUCUGCCUUCAGCAAAUCCUUGAGUAAAAAGAAAGAUAAAGGUGCGCUAGAUCAGUUUUGUCUAGAUUUGACCACACAAGCCAGUGGAGGGUUUAUUGACCCCAUUAUUGGCCGUGAGGAGGAGAUCGAAAGGGUGGUUCAGAUAAUAUGCCGGCGAACAAAGAACAAUCCCAUUCUUUUGGGUGAGGCAGGUGUUGGUAAAACUGCAAUUGCUGAAGGGUUGGCCCUUCGGAUUGCAAAUGGAGAUGUCCCCAUUUUCCUCGUGGCAAAGCGGAUAAUGUCGCUAGACAUUGGCCUGCUUAUUGCUGGCGCAAAAGAGAGGGGUGAACUGGAGUCCAGGAUCACUAGUUUAAUUCGCGAAGUCCGUGAAGCAGGUGAUGUUAUUCUUUUCAUCGACGAGGUUCACAAUCUUGUUGGAUCUGGAACUGCUGGGAAGGGUAAGGGUGCUGGCCUUGAUAUUAGCAAUCUCCUGAAGCCCCCACUUGCCAGAGGUGAACUGCAGUGCAUUGCAGCUACAACUUUAGAUGAACACCGGAUGCAUUUUGAGAAGGAUAAGGCUUUGAACCGCAGGUUCCAGCCAGUAUUUGUAGAUGAGCCUAGCCAGGAAGACGCUGUGAAAAUAUUACUUGGUCUUCGUGAGAAUUAUGAAGCUUAUCAUAAAUGCAAAUUCACUCUAGAAGCCAUCAAUGCAGCAGUUUAUUUGUCAGCAAGAUAUAUCCCAGACAGACAGCUUCCUGAUAAGGCUAUUGAUCUUAUUGACGAAGCUGGCAGUAGAGCUCGAAUUGAAUCAUAUCAAAAGAAGAAGGAAGGACAGUCUUCCGUUCUCUUAAAGGAGCCGGAUGAAUACUGGCAGGAGAUAAAAGCUGUCCAGGCCAUGCAUGAAGUGGUGUUAUCUAACAAGAUGAAAUAUUCUCCGAAUGAGAAUAAGCAACAGAAUGCGAGUGUUAACACUGAAGCGCCACAUCAGGAUAAGGCUGAGUCAACAAUUGAGGAGCCUAUUGUAGUUGGAACAGAAGAAAUUGCAAGAGUCGCCUCAUUAUGGUCGGGUAUUCCAGUCCAGCAGCUGACUGCUGAUGAUAAAAAGAUCUUAGUAGGACUGGAUGAUGAGCUUAGAAAGCGUGUUAUUGGUCAAGAUGACGCUGUUGCGGCGAUAUCGCGGGCCGUGAAGAGAUCACGUGUAGGCCUCAGUGACCCUGACAGACCUAUAGCUACGAUGCUCUUUUGUGGUCCUACAGGGGUUGGUAAAACCGAGCUUACCAAAGCUCUUGCAGCAAGUUACUUUGGAUCGGAAUCUGCUAUGCUUAGACUAGACAUGAGUGAAUACAUGGAGAGGCACACAGUGAGCAAACUGAUAGGCUCUCCUCCAGGGUACGUUGGAUAUGGUGAAACUGGUACUUUGACAGAAGCAGUCAGGAGAAAACCAUUCACCGUGGUACUGCUUGAUGAAAUAGAGAAAGCUCACCCUGAUAUUUUCAAUAUCCUUCUCCAAAUUUUUGAAGAUGGGCAUCUAGCAGACUCACAGGGUCGCAGAGUUUCGUUCAAGAAUACAUUGAUUGUCAUGACAUCAAACGUUGGUUCUACGUCAAUUUCCAACGGACGACGGAGCAUGGGUUUCUCAACAGAGGACACCGAAUCAAGCAGAUAUGUCGCAGUGAAAUCCCUCGUGAUGGAAGAGUUGAAGGGAUUCUUCCGUCCAGAAUUACUCAACAGAAUCGAUGAGACGGUUGUAUUCCGUCCUCUGGAACAGACUCAGAUGCUAGCAAUUCUCGAUAUCCUCCUAGAGGAACUGAAGGGCAAGCUCUUGGCCGUCGGGAUCGGCCUAGAGGUCUCCGACGCGAUGAAGGAGCUGAUCUGCCGAGAAGGCUACGACAAGAACUACGGCGCGCGGCCACUGAGGAGAGCCAUCACCCAGCUGAUGGAGGAUGUCAUCAGCGAGGCGAUUCUUUUCGGCGAGUACAAGCCUGGCGACACGAUACUGGUGGACACCGACAGCAAGGGGAAGCCUUGCUUGAGUCGUCUGAACCAACCACCGAUCGUCCAAGUGUCUGACUCAACACGGACAUUCUGA
Molecule: ribosomal RNA, 2784 nt
Filed under: Triticum aestivum (bread wheat)
Lineage: Eukaryota; Viridiplantae; Streptophyta; Magnoliopsida; Poales; Poaceae
Description: partial small subunit ribosomal RNA
Source: RNAcentral